GACGAACGCUGGCGGCGUGCUUAACACAUGCAAGUCGAGCGGAAAGGCCCUUCGGGGUACUCGAGCGGCGAACGGGUGAGUAACACGUGAGUAACCUGCCCUCAACUUCGGGAUAAGCCUGGGAAACUGGGUCUAAUACCGGAUAUGACUACUUCGGGCAUCCGAUGGUGGUGGAAAGUUUUUCGGUUGGGGAGUGGGCGUCGCGGCCUAUCAGCUUGUUGGUGGGGUAGUGGCCUACCAAGGCGACGACGGGUAGCCGGCCUGAGAGGGCGACCGGCCACACUGGGACUGAGACACGGCCCAGACUCCUACGGGAGGCAGCAGUGGGGAAUAUUGCGCAAUGGGCGGAAGCCUGACGCAGCGACGCCGCGUGGGGGA
Molecule: ribosomal RNA, 378 nt
Filed under: uncultured bacterium
Lineage: Bacteria
Description: bacterial SSU rRNA
Rfam family: Bacterial small subunit ribosomal RNA
Source: RNAcentral